GAUGAGCGCUGGCGGCGUGCCUAAUACAUGCAAGUCGAGCGAACGGACGAGAAGCUUGCUUCUCUGAUGUUAGCGGCGGACGGGUGAGUAACACGUGGAUAACCUACCUAUAAGACUGGGAUAACUUCGGGAAACCGGAGCUAAUACCGGAUAAUAUUUUGAACCGCAUGGUUCAAAAGUGAAAGACGGUCUUGCUGUCACUUAUAGAUGGAUCCGCGGCAUUAGCUAGUUGGUAAGGUAACGGCUUACCAAGGCAACGAUGCAUAGCCGACCUGAGAGGGUGAUCGGCCACACUGGAACUGAGACACGGUCCAGACUCCUACGGGAGGCAGCAGUAGGGAAUCUUCCGCAAUGGGCGAAAGCCUGACGGAGCAACGCCGCGUGAGUGAUGAAGGUCUUCGGAUCGUAAAACUCUGUUAUUAGGGAAGAACAUAUGUGUAAGUAACUGUGCACAUCUUGACGGUACCUAAUCAGAAAGCCACGGCUAACUACGUG
RNAcentral lists this ribosomal RNA (495 nucleotides) under uncultured bacterium. Its description in RNAcentral is "partial 16S ribosomal RNA". It matches the Rfam family "Bacterial small subunit ribosomal RNA", at positions 28 to 507 of the family's 1533-position model. The record is from RNAcentral.